AUUGAACGCUGGCGGCAUGCCUUACACAUGCAAGUCGAACGGCAGCACGGGAGCAAUCCUGGUGGCGAGUGGCGAACGGGUGAGUAAUAUAUCGGAACGUGCCCAGUCGUGGGGAUAACGUAGCGAAAGCUACGCUAAUACCGCAUACGAUCUAUGGAUGAAAGCGGGGGAUCGCAAGGACCUCGCGCGAUUGGAGCGGCCGAUAUCAGAUUAGGUAGUUGGUGAGGUAAAGGCUCACCAAGCCGACGAUCUGUAGCUGGUCUGAGAGGACGACCAGCCACACUGGGACUGAGACAGGCCCAGACUCCUACGGAGGCAGCAGUGGGGAAUUUUGGACAAUGGGCGCAAGCCUGAUCCAGCAAUGCCGCGUGCAGGAUGAA
Molecule: ribosomal RNA, 380 nt
Filed under: uncultured bacterium
Lineage: Bacteria
Description: bacterial SSU rRNA
Rfam family: Bacterial small subunit ribosomal RNA
Source: RNAcentral